RNAcentral lists this unclassified non-coding RNA (431 nucleotides) under Stylophora pistillata. RNAcentral's name for it is "ribulose-phosphate 3-epimerase, cytoplasmic isoform- like, transcript variant X2". Lineage: Eukaryota; Metazoa; Cnidaria; Anthozoa; Scleractinia; Pocilloporidae. The record is from RNAcentral.
CGCCAAAUCAUGCUGCUCUUGUAAGAUUGGACCUUCUAUUUGUUUGUCUUUUUUUUAACGCCAAGUGGGUGGAUGACAUAGCAGAUGCGGGGGCUGAUCAAUACACCUUUCAUUUGGAAGCAACAGGUCAAACACCUCAGAACUAAGUACAGGGUUUUGGACAUUGAAGUUGAUAAUGGAGUAGGAAUUCCUACGAUUGAAGCAGCUGCUCGGGUACCCAAUUAUACUGUAAUAACUUUACUGUUUAUAUCAAGUAACUACUGGACAGAGUGAACCCAUAAGAGAAAGCCAGAGGAUAGAGAUAAUUCAAGUGGUUACUAGCCUAAGCCCUGUUCUUAAAUUUGUCAUGGGUCUCAUCAGUACUAAAAUUGGAGCUUGGGAUGCAUUGUUCUGUUUAUGACUUCUGGAAAUAAAGAACUUGAUCUAAUUAA